RNAcentral lists this ribosomal RNA (229 nucleotides) under uncultured bacterium. RNAcentral describes it as "partial 16S ribosomal RNA". It matches the Rfam family "Bacterial small subunit ribosomal RNA", at positions 118 to 347 of the family's 1533-position model. The record is from RNAcentral.
UGGGCAACCUGCCCCAGACUCUGGGAUAACUCCGGGAAACCGGGGCUAAUACCGGAUACUCCGAUCGGACGACAUCGUCUGACCGGGAAAGCUCCGACGGUCUGGGAUGGGCCCGCGGCCUAUCAGCUUGUUGGUGGGGUAACGGCCUACCAAGGCGACGACGGGUAGCUGGUCUGAGAGGACGACCAGCCACACUGGAACUGAGAUACGGUCCAGACUCCUACGGGAG